This 201-nucleotide ribosomal RNA is filed under the name Listeria monocytogenes. RNAcentral's name for it is "partial 16S ribosomal RNA". It matches the Rfam family "Bacterial small subunit ribosomal RNA", at positions 108 to 302 of the family's 1533-position model. The record is from RNAcentral. Lineage: Bacteria; Bacillati; Bacillota; Bacilli; Caryophanales; Listeriaceae.
GAGUAACACGUGGGCAACCUGCCUGUAAGUUGGGGAUAACUCCGGGAAACCGGGGCUAAUACCGAAUGAUAAAGUGUGGCGCAUGCCACGCUUUUGAAAGAUGGUUUCGGCUAUCGCUUACAGAUGGGCCCGCGGUGCAUUAGCUAGUUGGUAGGGUAAUGGCCUACCAAGGCAACGAUGCAUAGCCGACCUGAGAGGGUG